UUCGGUCUUUUGAGCGAUUUGGAACCACCUCUUUCCAUUCCGAACAGAGAAGUGAAACGGGUCAGCGCUUACGAUACUCGAUUAUUCGGGGAAAAUGAGUCAAGGCCGGGG
This 111-nucleotide ribosomal RNA is filed under the name Armatimonadota bacterium. The record is from RNAcentral. Lineage: Bacteria; Bacillati; Armatimonadota.